AUAGGGCGGCACCUUGACGGUACCUAACCAGAAAGCCACGGCUAACUACGUGCCAGCAGCCGCGGUAAUACGUAGGUGGCAAGCGUUGUCCGGAAUUAUUGGGCGUAAAGGGCUCGCAGGCGGUUUCUUAAGUCUGAUGUGAAAGCCCCCGGCUCAACCGGGGAGGGUCAUUGGAAACUGGGGAACUUGAGUGCAGAAGAGGAGAGUGGAAUUCCACGUGUAGNNNNNNNNNNCGUAGAGAUGUGGAGGAACACCAGUGGCGAAGGCGACUCUCUGGUCUGUAACUGACGCUGAGGAGCGAAAGCGUGGGGAAAGGGCAGGAUUAGAUACCCUGGUAGUCCACGCCGU
RNAcentral lists this ribosomal RNA (348 nucleotides) under Bacillus amyloliquefaciens. RNAcentral's name for it is "partial 16S ribosomal RNA". It matches the Rfam family "Bacterial small subunit ribosomal RNA", at positions 456 to 803 of the family's 1533-position model. The record is from RNAcentral. Lineage: Bacteria; Bacillati; Bacillota; Bacilli; Caryophanales; Bacillaceae.